AAAGCCAUCAGUUAGUAUAUUUUUGAGGUACCCUUAUCAUUUACGCGCUUGUUUGAACUGCCCAUCUAUCGUAUUUCUAUCCGGCUGAAGGUUACGAUUUAACCCCGCUCAAAAUUCUUUCGUCAAUGAAGUUAGUUUAUUGCUACUGUCCAAAAUUCGAUUAUUUUGCUAAAUCUGACGACGAUACAUACACAAGAAUCGAUAGACUGAACAAUGAGCUUCCCAAACUGCAAAAAGAAAUAGAUGAAACGAACCCGGAAUGGAGAAUUGCGAACCCGCGCAAGCCAAAUGCCGAAAGUCACGUGCCCUUGAACACGGCAGGGCUUUGCAGAUUCAUAGAGGUACCUCGUAAAAACUCGAAGUUGCCCCGGUUUGAGGUUAUAUUAUGAUAGAUGGGACCCAAAAAUAACUAAAGAACUUGGAAAAAGCACAGAAUAACUUUGCUCGCUGAUUUCUUAAAACUUCCACGCUCUGAACGACUUCGGCUCACUUUUGCAUUUGGCCUAAAAUGACCAAACUGUUGAUUGAUCUUUCCGCAAGUAAUUUCAACCAAUCAUCUUUGAGUAUUACAACUCAAUUUUCAAAAUAACAUCCUAGUUUUUUUGGCAGAACUUUUUAUACUAUUGACAAUAUCGAUGCUCGAACUUGAAGUUUAAUAAUUUUUGUGUUUUGCAAGUGCGUUUUGUAAAGCUGUUAGGAUAUUAAGUUUUGAAAAAGGACCAUUUGGGUUAAUUAUUGUGCGGUCUAUUUAUAUUUCUAAGAAUGACUAGACAGCAAUUCAAUUCAGCUAAAAGUGUGGGGUAAGAAAAUUUUUAAAAGUGUUUUUUUUUUCAGUUAACAAAAAAAGUUUUCUCUAAUUUGUUUCUAAAAACCAUUUUGCUACAGUCGCAUUUUACGGCAUAAGAAUCAGGGUUUUGUCCUCAUACGAGCAGUCGUCUUAAUUUAGAGAAUCAUGAAUCGGCCAUAAAUCAAUUGAUUUUCUAAUUAGACAAAAGCGUCAUUUUUAACUUUUUGGACGAGUUUUCCCAAAAAAAUGAUAAGGGUCGCGCUGCCCUCAAAUUUCGUAAUUUCGUUGGAUCGACAAACAGUUUUCAAAAUAAAUUGGGUCGAUUGACCAUUCAUGCAUAGGGUGAAACUGAGCCAAAAAGAGGCUGUUCGCUAGGGUCGAAAUGCGUCUGUGAUUCACAUUAUUGAAAAACGCAAUCCAUCUGUCACAAUUGAACCUCGCCUUAGAUUCCGGAGAGCGUUUUACCUGGAAAGAAAGCGCCCUUCAAAUACUGUAUGGGUCAAUUGGAAAUAUUCAGCAGCUCUAUCAUUGAGAGCUUGUGGUACAAAACUGUGCGCAGCAUUGCAUUGGAUUUUAUGGGAACAGUGUCAACUUCAACUUCUCACUUCCUUGCAUAUGGCGACCUGAAGAUAUGUGGUUGGGCUCGUGCAUGCACGCAUACUUCAAAAGUCCACUGGUUAUAAGAGAUAUAACGAGUGGAGUUGCCCAAUGGGAUUAUCGGGAACCUCUUACGGUUUCCAAGCACCCUCAUGAUCACGUAGUCAUCGUUGACCGAAAAACACCAGAUGCACUUAGAGAAGCUGACAGGUUUUAUAAACAAUUACACCAGAAGUAAUCAAUUGGACCAGAAGUCAUCGCAGGUUUUAUAAACAAUUAGACCAGACACGAAAUCGAGCUGAACUUAUUGAAUAAAUUCCUAUUUUGACUCCAAGAUUUGUACAAAUUUGUAAUCCAUUCGUUAGAG
This is a long non-coding RNA of Symsagittifera roscoffensis, 1751 nucleotides long. RefSeq lists it as uncharacterized. Lineage: Eukaryota; Metazoa; Xenacoelomorpha; Acoela; Convolutidae. The record is from RefSeq and is a predicted model, not a curated record. The transcript is spliced from 3 exons.